This 443-nucleotide ribosomal RNA is filed under the name uncultured bacterium. RNAcentral's name for it is "bacterial SSU rRNA". It matches the Rfam family "Bacterial small subunit ribosomal RNA", at positions 29 to 433 of the family's 1533-position model. The record is from RNAcentral.
AACGAACGCUGGCGGCAGGCCUAACACAUGCAAGUCGAGCGCCCCCUUUAGGGCGACAAAGACGGAGACGCGGUGGUUGGAGAGAUCCGAUCGCUGGUUUGGUGUUUUGUCUUCUGAUGGGGAGCGGCGGACGGGUGAGUAACGCGUGGGAAUUUCCUCAAGGUACGGAACAACUCAGGGAAACUUGGGCUAAUACCGUAUGAUGUCUAGCGACCAAAGAUUUAUCGCCUUGGGAUAAGCCCGCGCAGAUUAGGUAGUUGGUGGGGUAACGGCCGUACCAAGCCUGCGAUCUGUAGCUGGUCUGAGAGGACGAUCAGCCACACUGGGACUGAGACACGGCCCAGACUCCUGCGGGAGGCAGCAGUGGGGAAUCUUGCGCAAUGGGCGAAAGCCUGACGCAGCCAUGCCGCGUGAAUGAUGAAGGUCUUAGGAUUGUAAAGUUC